GAUGAAGAACGCAGCGAAAUGCGAUAAGUAAUGUGAAUUGCAGAAUUCAGUGAAUCAUCGAAUCUUUGAACGCACAUUGCGCCCCCUGGUAUUCCGGGGGGCAUGCCUGUCCGAGCGUCAUUACAACCCUCAAGCUCAGCUUGGUGUUGGGCCCCGCCGCCCCGGCGGGCCCUAAAGUCAGUGACGGUGCCGUCCGGCUCCGAGCGUAGUAAUUCUUCUCGCUCUGGAGGUCCGGUCGUGUGCUCGCCAGCAACCCCCAAUUUUUUUCAGGUUGACCUCGGAUCAGGUAGGGAUACCCGCUGAACUUAAGCAUAUCAAUAAGCGGAGGA
This 329-nucleotide unclassified non-coding RNA is filed under the name soil metagenome. RNAcentral describes it as "partial contains 5.8S ribosomal RNA, internal transcribed spacer 2, and large subunit ribosomal RNA". The stretch from base 1 to 120 matches the Rfam family "5.8S ribosomal RNA", at positions 35 to 154 of the family's 154-position model. The record is from RNAcentral.